RNAcentral lists this ribosomal RNA (1960 nucleotides) under human gut metagenome. Its description in RNAcentral is "bacterial LSU rRNA". It matches the Rfam family "Bacterial large subunit ribosomal RNA", at positions 1 to 1988 of the family's 2925-position model. The record is from RNAcentral.
UUAAGCGACUAAGCGUACACGGUGGAUGCCCUGGCAGUCAGAGGCGAUGAAGGACGUGCUAAUCUGCGAAAAGCGCCGGCGAGGUGAUAUGAACCUUUGACCCGGCGAUGUCCGAAUGGGGAAACCCAGUGUGAUUCGUCACACUAUCGUUAACUGAAUACAUAGGUUAACGAGGCGAACCGGGGGAACUGAAACAUCUAAGUACCCCGAGGAAAAGAAAUCAACCGAGAUUCCCCCAGUAGCGGCGAGCGAACGGGGAGCAGCCCAGAGUCUGAAUCAGCUUGUGUGUUAGUGGAAGCGUCUGGAAAGUCGCACGGUACAGGGUGACAGUCCCGUACACGAAAAUGCACAGGUUGUGAACUCGAAGAGUAGGGCGGGACACGUGGUAUCCUGUCUGAAUAUGGGGGGACCAUCCUCCAAGGCUAAAUACUCCUGACUGACCGAUAGUGAACCAGUACCGUGAGGGAAAGGCGAAAAGAACCCCGGCGAGGGGAGUGAAAAAGAACCUGAAACCGUGUACGUACAAGCAGUGGGAGCACCUUCGGGUGUGACUGCGUACCUUUUGUAUAAUGGGUCAGCGACUUAUAUUCUGUAGCAAGGUUAACCGUAUAGGGGAGCCGAAGGGAAACCGAGUCUUAACUGGGCGUUAAGUUGCAGGGUAUAGACCCGAAACCCGGUGAUCUAGCCAUGGGCAGGUUGAAGGUUGGGUAACACUAACUGGAGGACCGAACCGACUAAUGUUGAAAAAUUAGCGGAUGACUUGUGGCUGGGGGUGAAAGGCCAAUCAAACCGGGAGAUAGCUGGUUCUCCCCGAAAGCUAUUUAGGUAGCGCCUCGUGAACUCAUCUUCGGGGGUAGAGCACUGUUUCGGCUAGGGGGCCAUCCCGGCUUACCAACCCGAUGCAAACUACGAAUACCGAAGAAUGUUAUCACGGGAGACACACGGCGGGUGCUAACGUCCGUCGUGAAGAGGGAAACAACCCAGACCGCCAGCUAAGGUCCCAAAGUCAUGGUUAAGUGGGAAACGAUGUGGGAAGGCACAGACAGCCAGGAUGUUGGCUUAGAAGCAGCCAUCAUUUAAAGAAAGCGUAAUAGCUCACUGGUCGAGUCGGCCUGCGCGGAAGAUGUAACGGGGCUAAACCAUGCACCGAAGCUGCGGCAGCGACACUAUGUGUUGUUGGGUAGGGGAGCGUUCUGUAAGCCGUUGAAGGUGUGCUGUGAGGCAUGCUGGAGGUAUCAGAAGUGCGAAUGCUGACAUAAGUAACGAUAAAGCGGGUGAAAAGCCCGCUCGCCGGAAGACCAAGGGUUCCUGUCCAACGUUAAUCGGGGCAGGGUGAGUCGACCCCUAAGGCGAGGCCGAAAGGCGUAGUCGAUGGGAAACAGGUUAAUAUUCCUGUACUUGGUGUUACUGCGAAGGGGGGACGGAGAAGGCUAUGUUAGCCGGGCGACGGUUGUCCCGGUUUAAGCAUGUAGGCGGAACGAUUAGGUAAAUCCGGUCGUUUAUUAACGCUGAGGUGUGAUGACGAGGCACUACGGUGCUGAAGUAACAAAUGCCCUGCUUCCAGGAAAAGCCUCUAAGCAUCAGGUAACAUUAAAUCGUACCCCAAACCGACACAGGUGGUCAGGUAGAGAAUACCAAGGCGCUUGAGAGAACUCGGGUGAAGGAACUAGGCAAAAUGGUGCCGUAACUUCGGGAGAAGGCACGCUGAUAUGUAGGUGAAGCCCCUGCGGGUGGAGCUGAAAUCAGUCGAAGAUACCAGCUGGCUGCAACUGUUUAUUAAAAACACAGCACUGUGCAAACACGAAAGUGGACGUAUACGGUGUGACGCCUGCCCGGUGCCGGAAGGUUAAUUGAUGGGGUUAGCGGCAACGCGAAGCUCUUGAUCGAAGCCCCGGUAAACGGCGGCCGUAACUAUAACGGUCCUAAGGUAGCGAAAUUCCUUGUCGGGUAAGUUCCGACC